AAAGUUUCAGUUAUAAAAUGAGACCUAGAAAUAGUUCUAGGAUUGCUUCAAUGUUUUGAACAUUUUACAACGUUUAGAAAAGGCAAAUAUAAGUUUUCUGUACAAACUUCAAGUCACUACAAACAUUUUUAACUGAAUCAAAACAAAAUAAAAAUUUAAAACGUAUAUUUUGUAAAUUUUCUCUUUUUUCCCAUUUAUUGGGAAAAUCAAAAAAUGAUCUUCCUUAAUUGUCACCCCAGUGAGAUUUCUUUUAAGAAAAAAUGCUAUAAUUGAAAAUUGGGGCAAAAUUGCUGGUAGACAAGUUGUUCUCAGAAAAAAAAUAAACUUCAUUGUAAAACCAAUACAUUUCUCACUCUGCUCAGAAUCUAAUAAUGAAAAUUUACCUUCACAAUUUUCAAA
Non-coding RNA from Cinara cedri, 399 nucleotides. The record is from the annotation of a GenBank genome assembly. NCBI's taxonomy places the organism in Eukaryota, Metazoa, Arthropoda, Insecta, Hemiptera, Aphididae.